ACAGCAUGUCUGUUACCUCUUGGCCACUGAUAUUGACUGCAUGAUGGGCUACUGAACAUUUCAUAAUUACCCCUCCAAUACAGCUCCAAGUUUAAUUUAUGUGUCUUCUGCCUGAGAGAGGGGAACAGACCGGCAUUACAGAGGAGUGUAAUUUAUAUUGAUUUACCUUUUGGAUGGAGGGAUGGCUGAGGAAAGAGGGAGAGAUGGGAGGAAGAGAGAGAUGAAGGAUGACAAUUCCCUGAAAUGUUUUCCUGUCUCUGGACCAGACAAACGGUAUUUCUGGAAGUCCCAGGAGGAGUAAAACCCAUGCAUCAGGGAUACUGCUGGAAUGAGAGAUGGGCGUGUGUGAGCGCGAGAGAGUCUGAUGCUGCUGUUCCUGCAGUGGUCCUGUAGUCACCCUCAUUGAGCUGGUGAGGCGGUCGGCUGCUGCUGUUGCUGAUACUGCUGCAGGAGAGGAUUCCUAUCUGAUUAUGGGAUAGUCAGAUAUACUACAGCAGAGAGAGGUGAAGAAAGGCUUAGGUUUCUGCUAAUCUUCCUUGGCCCCGUUGAUACCCGCAUUGUUUUUACGAGGACAGAGGAAAGAGACUCUUCAGGUGUGAAAAGGAACUCUGAGAGAGGAGGCGCGCUUGGCUGGACUGCACUAGGGGGUGAAGGUAGGGGAUCUUUUCUUUGGUGGAGUGGAUGGGGGGAGGCGGCAACAUGACAGUGUGUGUAUUUGUGAAAGUAAUGGGACAGUGUGUUUAAAAUGCAGUAGUUGCUUGUGUUUGUGUACGGCGUUAAGAUUAAAUUUAAGAGAUUGUAUUAAGUCUGAGCUUUGUGGGUACACUCCAGGCACCGUGUCAGGGGUUUUAGCUCAGAGUAGCAGUGUAGAGUUCAGAAUGUGUGUGUGUGUGUGUGUGUGUGUGUGUGUGUGUGUAUGUGUGAAUCAGGUUUCCCUACAUUUAAGUGCACUAAAUGUACUCAUAGAUAGAAAAAACAGAAAUCAACUACAUUAUU
Cyprinus carpio (common carp) is the source of this 996-nucleotide long non-coding RNA. RefSeq lists it as uncharacterized. NCBI's taxonomy places the organism in Eukaryota, Metazoa, Chordata, Actinopteri, Cypriniformes, Cyprinidae. The transcript has 4 exons. The record is from RefSeq and is a predicted model, not a curated record.